AGAAAGGGCCGGGCAAGACCGGUGCCAGCCGCCGCGGUAAUACCGGCGGCUCGAGUGGUGGCCACUAUUACUGGGCUUAAAGCGUUCGUAGCUGGUCUGUUAAGUCUCUGGGGAAAUCUACCGGCUUAACCAAUAGGCGUCUCAGGGAUACUGGCAGACUAGGGACCGGGAGAGGUGAGAGGUACUCCAGGGGUAGGAGUGAAAUCCUGUAAUCCUUGGGGGACCACCUGUGGCGAAGGCGUCUCACCAGAACGGCUCCAACAGUGAGGGACGAAAGCUGGGGGAGCAAACCGGAUUAAAUACCCGGGUAGUCCCAGCCGUAAACGAUGCGCGUUAGGUGUAUCGGUGACCACGAGUCACCGAGGUGCCGAAGAGAAAUCGUGAAACGUGCCGCCUGGGAAGUACGGUCGCAAGGCUGAAACUUAAAGGAAUUGGCGGGGGAGCACCACAACAGGUGGAGCCUGCGGUUUAAUCGGACUCAACGCCGGAAAUCUCACCGGAUAAGACAGCUGGAUGAUAGUCGGGCUGAAGACUCUACUUGACUAGCUGAGAGGAGGUGCAUGGCCGUCGUCAGUUCGAUG
RNAcentral lists this ribosomal RNA (581 nucleotides) under uncultured Methanomicrobiaceae archaeon. RNAcentral's name for it is "bacterial SSU rRNA". It matches the Rfam family "Archaeal small subunit ribosomal RNA", at positions 434 to 1014 of the family's 1478-position model. Lineage: Archaea; Methanobacteriati; Methanobacteriota; Methanomicrobia; Methanomicrobiales; Methanomicrobiaceae. The record is from RNAcentral.